This 408-nucleotide ribosomal RNA is filed under the name uncultured bacterium. RNAcentral describes it as "bacterial SSU rRNA". It matches the Rfam family "Bacterial small subunit ribosomal RNA", at positions 355 to 776 of the family's 1533-position model. The record is from RNAcentral.
UGGGGAAUAUUGGGCAAUGGAGGAAACUCUGACCCAGCAAUGCCGCGUGAAUGAAGAAGGUCUUCGGAUUGUAAAGUUCUUUAGUCAGGGAAGAAGAAAAUGACGGUACCUGAAGAAUAAGCUCCGGCUAACUACGUGCCAGCAGCCGCGGUAAUACGUAGGGAGCAAGCGUUGUUCGGAAUGACUGGGCGUAAAGGGUGCGUAGGCGGUUAUACAAGUUAGAAGUGAAAUACCCAGGGCUUAACUCGGGUGCUGCUUCUAAAACUGUAAGACUUGAGUGCAGUAGAGGUUAGUGGAAUUCCUAGUGUAGCGGUGGAAUGCGUAGAUAUUAGGAGGAACACCAGAGGCGAAGGCGGCUAACUGGACUGCAACUGACGCUGAGGCACGAAAGUGUGGGGAGCAAACAGG